ACUGCGAAUGGCUCAUUAUAUAAGUUAUCGUUUAUUUGAUAUUGCCUAUCCUACAUGGAUAACAGUGGUAAUUCUAGAGCUAAUACAUGCUGAAAAUCCCGACUUCGGAAGGGACGUAUUUAUUAGAAUCAGAACCAAUGCCCUUCGGGGUUCCUUGGUGACUCAUGAUAACUCCACAGAUCGCAUGGCCUUGCGCCGGCGAUGGCUCAUUCAAAUUUCUUCCCUAUCAACUUUCGACGGUACGGUAUUGGCCUACCGUGGUUGUAACGGGUGACGGAGGGUUAGGGCUCGACCCCGGAGAGGGAGCCUGAGAAACGGCUACCACAUCCAAGGAAGGCAGCAGGCGCGCAAAUUAUCCAAUCCCGACACGGGGAGAUAGUGACAAUAAAUACCGAUACAGGGCUCUUUUGGGCCCUGUAAUUGGAAUGAGUACAAUUUAAACCUCUUAACGAGGAACAAUUGGAGGGCAAGUCUGGUGCCAGCAGCCGCGGUAAUUCCAGCUCCAAUAGCGUAUAUUAAAGUUGUUGUGGUUAAAAAGCUCGUAGUCGAACCUCGAACCUGGCCGGCCGGUCCGCCUCACCGCGUGCACUGGUCUGGCCGGGUUCUUCCCUCUGCGGAACCGCAUGUCCUUCACUGGGCGUGUCGGGGAGGCAGGACUUUUACUUUGAAAAAAUUAGAGUGCUCAAGGCAGGCCAAUGCUCGAAUACAUUAGCAUGGAAUAAUAGAAUAGGACGUUGGUUCUAUUUUGUUGGUUUCUAGGACCGCCGUAAUGAUCAAUAGGGACGGUCGGGGGCAUCAGUAUUCAGCCGUCAGAGGUGAAAUUCUUGGACCGGCUGAAGACUAACUACUGCG
RNAcentral lists this ribosomal RNA (852 nucleotides) under Phaeoisaria clematidis. RNAcentral describes it as "SSU rRNA". It matches the Rfam family "Eukaryotic small subunit ribosomal RNA", at positions 86 to 947 of the family's 1831-position model. The record is from RNAcentral. Lineage: Eukaryota; Fungi; Ascomycota; Sordariomycetes; Pleurotheciales; Pleurotheciaceae.